AUUUGAAAUCUGGCGCAAGCCCGAGUUGUAAUUUGUAGAGGAUGCUUCUGGCCAGCGGCCGUUCUAAGUUCCUUGGAACAGGACGUCAUAGAGGGUGAGAAUCCCGUAUGUGACCGGCGCGCAGCCUUUACGUAGCUCCUUCGACGAGUCGAGUUGUUUGGGAAUGCAGCUCUAAAUGGGAGGUAAAUUUCUUCUAAAGCUAAAUACCGGCCAGAGACCGAUAGCGCACAAGUAGAGUGAUCGAAAGAUGAAAAGCACUUUGGAAAGAGAGUUAAAAAGCACGUGAAAUUGUUGAAAGGGAAGCGCUUGCAACCAGACUUCGUAGCGAUGUUCCGCUGGUCUUCUGACCGGUCUACUCAUCGUCGCGAGGCCAACAUCGUCUGGGCCCGCUGGAUAAGACCUAAGGAAUGUAGCUUCCCUCGGGAAGUGUUAUAGCCUGUGGUGAUGCAGCGUGGCUCGGGCGAG
This 465-nucleotide ribosomal RNA is filed under the name Paracercosporidium sp. RNAcentral describes it as "partial large subunit ribosomal RNA". It matches the Rfam family "Eukaryotic large subunit ribosomal RNA", at positions 113 to 590 of the family's 3401-position model. The record is from RNAcentral. Lineage: Eukaryota; Fungi; Ascomycota; Dothideomycetes; Mycosphaerellales; Mycosphaerellaceae.